UACGGGGGGAGCAAGCGUUGUUCGGAUUUACUGGGCGUAAAGGGCGCGUAGGCGGCGUGACAAGUCACUUGUGAAAUCUCCGGGCUUAACCCGGAGCGGCCAAGUGAUACUGUCGUGCUAGAGUGCGGAAGGGGCUACUGGAAUUCUCGGUGUAGCGGUGAAAUGCGUAGAUAUCGAGAGGAACACCUGCGGCGAAGGCGGGUAGCUGGGCCGACACUGACGCUGAUGCGCGAAAGCCAGGGGAGCGAACAGG
This 253-nucleotide ribosomal RNA is filed under the name uncultured bacterium. RNAcentral's name for it is "partial 16S ribosomal RNA". It matches the Rfam family "Bacterial small subunit ribosomal RNA", at positions 524 to 776 of the family's 1533-position model. The record is from RNAcentral.